UAGAAUAAAGCUCGCUGGAUAGAGUGUUUAGCUGUUAACUAAAAUAUUAUGGGAUCGAGGCCCAUUGUUCUAG
RNAcentral lists this transfer RNA (73 nucleotides) under Anomaloglossus tepuyensis. RNAcentral describes it as "tRNA-Asn". It matches the Rfam family "tRNA". Rfam says of the family: Transfer RNA (tRNA) molecules are approximately 80 nucleotides in length. Their secondary structure includes four short double-helical elements and three loops (D, anti-codon, and T loops). Further hydrogen bonds mediate the characteristic L-shaped molecular structure. tRNAs have two regions of fundamental functional importance: the anti-codon, which is responsible for specific mRNA codon recognition, and the 3' end, to which the tRNAs corresponding amino acid is attached (by aminoacyl-tRNA synthetases). tRNAs cope with the degeneracy of the genetic code in two manners: having more than one tRNA (with a specific anti-codon) for a particular amino acid; and 'wobble' base-pairing, i.e. permitting non-standard base-pairing at the 3rd anti-codon position. Lineage: Eukaryota; Metazoa; Chordata; Amphibia; Anura; Aromobatidae. The record is from RNAcentral.